Molecule: ribosomal RNA, 478 nt
Filed under: uncultured bacterium
Lineage: Bacteria
Description: bacterial SSU rRNA
Rfam family: Bacterial small subunit ribosomal RNA
Source: RNAcentral
UGGCGGCAGGCCUAACACAUGCAAGUCGAGCGGUAACAUUUCUAGCUUGCUAGAAGAUGACGAGCGGCGGACGGGUGAGUAACGCGUAGAAAUCUACCUAGUAGUGGGGGAUAGCCCAGAGAAAUUUGGAUUAAUACCGCAUACGCCCUACGGGGAAAGCGGGGGAUCUUCGGACCUCGUGCUAUUAGAUGAGUCUGCGUCGGAUUAGCUUGUUGGUGAGGUAAUGGCUCACCAAGGCGACGAUCCGUAGCUGGUCUGAGAGGAUGACCAGCCACACUGGAACUGAGACACGGUCCAGACUCCUACGGGAGGCAGCAGUGGGGAAUAUUGCACAAUGGGCGCAAGCCUGAUGCAGCCAUGCCGCGUGUGUGAAGAAGGCCUUAGGGUUGUAAAGCACUUUCAGCAGUGAGGAAAGGGGUGUCGUUAAUAGCGCCAUCCUGUGACGUUAACUGCAGAAGAAGGACCGGCUAACUCCGUG